UUCGUAACAAGGUCUCCGUUGGUGAACCAGCGGAGGGAUCAUUACCGAGUUUACAACUCCCAAACCCCUGUGAACAUACCAAUUGUUGCCUCGGCGGAUCAGCCCGCUCCCGGUAAAACGGGACGGCCCGCCAGAGGACCCCUAAACUCUGUUUCUAUAUGUAACUUCUGAGUAAAACCAUAAAUAAAUCAAAACUUUCAACAACGGAUCUCUUGGUUCUGGCAUCGAUGAAGAACGCAGCAAAAUGCGAUAAGUAAUGUGAAUUGCAGAAUUCAGUGAAUCAUCGAAUCUUUGAACGCACAUUGCGCCCGCCAGUAUUCUGGCGGGCAUGCCUGUUCGAGCGUCAUUUCAACCCUCAAGCCCCCGGGUUUGGUGUUGGGGAUCGGCGAGCCCUUGCGGCAAGCCGGCCCCGAAAUCUAGUGGCGGUCUCGCUGCAGCUUCCAUUGCGUAGUAGUAAAACCCUCGCAACUGGUACGCGGCGCGGCCAAGCCGUUAAACCCCCAACUUCUGAAUGUUGACCUCGGAUCAGGUAGGAAUACCCGCUGAACUUAAGCAUAUCAAU
This 562-nucleotide ribosomal RNA is filed under the name Fusarium proliferatum. RNAcentral's name for it is "eukaryotic LSU rRNA". The stretch from base 193 to 346 matches the Rfam family "5.8S ribosomal RNA". The record is from RNAcentral. Lineage: Eukaryota; Fungi; Ascomycota; Sordariomycetes; Hypocreales; Nectriaceae.